UCUCCGUUGGUGAACCAGCGGAGGGAUCAUUACCGAGUGCAAACUCAUAACCCUUUGUGAACCUAUAUCUGUCGCUUCGGCGGCUCGCUCUCGGGCGAGCCCGCCGGUAAUAUCAGUAUCUCUGUUUGAACCCGACGAUACUUCUGAGUGUUCUUAGCGAACAGUUAAAACUUUUAACAACGGAUCUCUUGGCUCUA
RNAcentral lists this unclassified non-coding RNA (197 nucleotides) under plant metagenome. Its description in RNAcentral is "partial contains small subunit ribosomal RNA, internal transcribed spacer 1, and 5.8S ribosomal RNA". The record is from RNAcentral.